ACUAUUUUGGCAGAUUAGUGCGUUAAAUUUAGAAUUUAUUUAUGUAAUUAGAGAUUACAGAUAGUA
RNAcentral lists this transfer RNA (66 nucleotides) under Megacopta cribriella. Its description in RNAcentral is "tRNA-Leu". Lineage: Eukaryota; Metazoa; Arthropoda; Insecta; Hemiptera; Plataspidae. The record is from RNAcentral.